Molecule: long non-coding RNA, 2999 nt
Organism: Triplophysa dalaica
Lineage: Eukaryota; Metazoa; Chordata; Actinopteri; Cypriniformes; Nemacheilidae
Exons: 3
Source: RefSeq, a predicted model, not a curated record
UUUAUAAUAUAUUAAUUUACAUGUGAUAAGAUAUGGUACUGGAUGUGUAAAGAUAUAUUGACCAUAAUAUAUUUACAAAUGCCAUAUAUAAACACAUAUACAUAUAAAUUUCUUUACAAUAUACAUGUUAAAUAUUUUAAAACGUAGCUAGUUUACAAUAGCAUAAGCACACCUACUCAAACUAAAGCACUUAGUGAACUAACACUCACUGAACUGAAGAGCACACAGUCUUUACUUUUUAAAUAAAGAAGUAUAUAAACUUCUUGAUAUUCUACACAGUCACACUUAUAUGGGAACAUCUAUCAGCAAUAUAUACCCAAAUCUAAUGAAUCUUAGAUUUAUUUCUGUCUUGGUUUCAAAAUAAAUAUAUAUGUUCAAUAUUUAGCCAUACAUUGUCAAUGCAUAUACUGCUGCAUAUUGAAAAAUAUUAGCACCAGCUUCCAAUAUAUGGAAAUGUACUUUGUAAUAUAUCGCAUUACAUUUUGCAGUGUAUUCCCAUAUAUUUUUGUUCCAUUUUAUCAUCUAAGUGUGUGUGAUCUCAAGCAGGAACUAAAAGUGUAAAUCCCUGACCCCAGGUGGCCAAAAAAGUCAGGUGUUUGUUUUCUAGUAUCAUGUCAAAUGAAUACCGUUAAAUAAGCCACUUAUUCAUAUGUAUGCAUAUUUUCUAACUUAUGUUCUAUAAAAGAGUAAGUAGCGUAUGAUUUUUAAGGUCCUACUUUGGAUUAUGGAGUGUCCAACAACAUGUUUAUGUACAUAGAAGGUGUAAAAACACUAUUAUGUCAUAAGAACUUGUUAUAGCGUUCAUCAUGUGUCGCAAAUGGAACGCCUACCAUCAAUGCUGGAUAAGGAUUUAGAGGUUAUAUAUACAGUGUAUAGAUACAGAUGGAGGGGAUUUCACUUUACUAGUUUGAGCCCGAGUCUGUGGAAGAAACAUCCGAAGACGAUAGUAGAUUAUAGAUAGACGAUAAUAGAUUGAACACUUAAAUUAGCCGGUUUCAUAGAUAAAUAAACUGUAAUACCCCAGAAUUAACGGUACAUGUUAACAUAUUCGUUAUAAGCAUUAGCUAAACACAGACAUAAGGUACACAAAUAUUUCUUGAAGUUCAGACCAAAAAAACAGUCACACUUACAGGUUGUGAUUCGGUGGAGCUAACAGGUCCAAAUAAGAUUGGUAUUUCCCCUCUUUCAAGGAAAGUCUUUUAACAUAUCCUGCAUUGAAAAUGAAUUGUAGCCAUUGUUUCCUCAGAAUUUCUUCCUUUGGUAGUUUAAAUAAGACGCACUUAGUUUCACAACCUAGAGCACAUGUUCUAUGGAAUAAAAUCACUUUCAAAAAUAAUCGUACGUAAUUCAAAACAUUUGUGUGUAAUUUUAAUAUAAUGAAAGUGAAAGUGACUAAUUUGUCAGUUAUGGUGACCCAUAUCCGAGAUAUACCUCUGCUUUUAACCCAUCCAGAGAGUAGUGAACACACGCACAGCAAGUGGUGAACACACAUACACCCAGAGCAGUGGGCAGCUAUUGCUGCAGCGCCCGGGGAGCAAGUAGGGGUUAGGUGCCUUGCUCAAGGGAACCUCAAUCGUUACCCGCCUGACCUGAGGAUUGAACCGGCAACCUUCUGGUCACGAGUCCAACCCUCUAACCAUUAGGCCACGACUGCCUAAUCGUGCGUAAUUUAAAACUAUUGUACGUAAUUCUGUUUUUUGUCAAAGUUGGAUUCCAAAAUCUACUGCCACGACAGUUUACAGAUACGCGAUUUUGUGUGUUUUUUAGAGUACAACUCUAAAAUGUACGACUGUGACAGUUUACAGACGGCGCUUGUUUUCACAAUAGCUCUGUUACACACACGACAUGCGAAAUUACGACCACGAAGUGCGGUGUGCGAAACGGCUGUCAAAAAUACGUCAUCAAGGUCACAGGCAUUACUAUCCGAGGGAAGAUGAAUCGAUUCAACAAAGUGCGCAUGCGCCCCACCAAAGUUUAAACCACUGGCGCCAAAAUGGCGGAUCAGCAGCCAAGCGCUCACACCUCGUCUCAGGUAAGUUAAUUAUUAUUUUUUAAUCUGACAUGUUUAAGCAGUGGUCAUCAAACUUGUUCCUGGCGGUCAUGAGGUCGGAGCUAAACUCUGAAGGACACGGGCCCUCCAGGACCGAACUUGACGACCCUUGUGUUUAAGGGUUAACGUUAGUUAUAACUAAUAACAGAGAGUAGCAAUAUUACAGAGACAGUAUAGUAGGUAAGAUAAGCUCUCAGAGUACAUGUAACGUUAGGUGCUUAAAGAAGACAGUUGUUUAGGAGGUCAUCACUGCAGCCUGUACAAGAGGUAUACGAUAUAAAUACUGUUCGUUUUCUCACACAAACUGCUUGUUUCGUGUCUUAGGCCAUCAAUGUGUCCUUACGAUGGGGAAUUGUUUAAUUUGGACUUCACUGUGCAUGCUCUUUGAGAUUGUGACCAUAGACCUGCAUUAUACGACUGACAGACAAGAACGGUUUGACCUAAAAAUAUCAAAAUUGAAACUACUGCUGGAAAAAAGACACCUACAUCUUGGAUGCCCUUGAGGUGGAUGCAGGCUUCAUUCUGGAGAAUUGCCAACCUGUCUUUAGUGACAAAGGUUCUGUGAAAUACACCAAAGAAGUAAAUGUAAUGAACUUUUUGCAGGAUUUCCUACAGGAAGUUGAGGAUCGUGACGGUGAAGCUGAACAAAUGACUGCAGGUAAAGUUAUGCAGUGGAUGACAGGCCAGAGACAUAAGCCUAUUCUCCCCAGUGACCAGAAGGAUUUCAGCAUCACUGUGGAGUUCAAUCACGACUGUGACACAAAACCAAGUGUGUGUUUUCCAACUGUAAGCGCAUGUACUCGCACGAUUACGUUUCCUACAGCUCACCUGAAAACACUGGAUGAAUUUAAAAACAUAAUGGAAAUAGCUAUGAAAUAUGGGGAGUCAUUUGACAAUGUUUAAAUGUAUUUGGUGGUGAAAGCAUGUUGAAACAGCAACUUUAAGCUUC